CUAAAUUAAUUGAUAAAAAAUUAUAACGAUUCCCAUAUACCAUGAAAAAGAGUUUAAAAUACAUUAAUAAAAAUGUAGAAUGUGUUUAGAAAUUUUAAAACAACACUAAAUAUUAUAGGCUUUAGUAUAUGAAGUAUUUACCAAAAACUCAAUAUCUUCGUAAGGGUUCACAUAGAUUUUGAGAAAAUUUAAAAAAUAUGACAAUAUUGUUUUAAUGCAUAGUUGCAUCGUGCACUAACAUAAGAUGAUGCUCAAAGAGGUUUGGAGCCUUUGUUUUCUCCGUUUGUUUAAGAAAAUAGUGAUUUUAUAGUGGUUAUUCCAUCGAUUUAGUGUGUAUUAUGAAGUUUUACUAAAUUAAUUAAUAAUAAAAUUAUAACGAUUUCCAUAUACCAUGAAAAAGCUUAAAAUACAUUAAUACAAAUGUAGAAUGUGAUUACAAAUUUUAAAAAACAACUAAAGAUUAUAGGCUUCAGUAUAUAAAACAUUUACAAAAAACUCAAUAUUUUCGAAGGGGGUUUUAGCACAUAGAUUUUGAGAAAAUUUAAAAAAAUAUGACAAUAUUGUUUUAAUGCAUAGUUGCAUCGUGCACUAACAUAAGAUGAUGCUCAAAGAGGUUUGGAGCCUUUGUUGUCACCGUUUCUCGAGAAAAUAGUGAUUUUAUAGUGGUUAUUCCAUCGAUUUAGGGUGUAUUUUGAAGUUUUACUAAAUUAAUUGAUAAUAAAAUUAUAACGAUUUCCAUAUACCAUGAAAAAAGCUUAAAA
Brassica rapa (field mustard) is the source of this 761-nucleotide long non-coding RNA. RefSeq lists it as uncharacterized. The record is from RefSeq and is a predicted model, not a curated record. NCBI's taxonomy places the organism in Eukaryota, Viridiplantae, Streptophyta, Magnoliopsida, Brassicales, Brassicaceae.